RNAcentral lists this ribosomal RNA (404 nucleotides) under uncultured bacterium. RNAcentral's name for it is "bacterial SSU rRNA". It matches the Rfam family "Bacterial small subunit ribosomal RNA", at positions 362 to 759 of the family's 1533-position model. The record is from RNAcentral.
UUUUGGACAAUGGGCGCAAGCCUGAUCCAGCCAUGCCGCGUGAGUGAAGAAGGCCUUCGGGUUGUAAAGCUCUUUCCCCGGGGACGAAACGGUUCGUGCUAAUACCACGGACUACUGACGGUACCCGCAGAAGAAGCACCGGCUAACUACGUGCCAGCAGCCGCGGUAAUACGUAGGGUGCAGGCGUUAAUCGGAAUUACUGGGCGUAAAGCGUGCGCAGGCGGUUUGUUAAGACAGGUGUGAAAUCCCCGGGCUUAACCUGGGAAUUGCGCUUGUAACUGGCAGACUGGAGUGUGGCAGAGGGGGGUGGAAUUCCAAGUGUAGCAGUGAAAUGCGUAGAUAUUUGGAGGAACACCGAUGGCGAAGGCAGCCCCCUGGGCUAACACUGACGCUCAUGCAGAAAG